Molecule: ribosomal RNA, 466 nt
Filed under: Vreelandella stevensii
Lineage: Bacteria; Pseudomonadati; Pseudomonadota; Gammaproteobacteria; Oceanospirillales; Halomonadaceae
Description: partial 16S ribosomal RNA
Rfam family: Bacterial small subunit ribosomal RNA
Source: RNAcentral
CCUACGGGUGGCAGCAGUGGGGAAUAUUGGACAAUGGGCGAAAGCCUGAUCCAGCCAUGCCGCGUGUGUGAAGAAGGCCUUCGGGUUGUAAAGCACUUUCAGUGGGGAAGAAAGCCUUGGGGCUAAUACCCUCGAGGAAGGACAUCACCCACAGAAGAAGCACCGGCUAACUCCGUGCACAGCAGCCGCGGUAAUACGGAGGGUGCGAGCGUUAAUCGGAAUUACUGGGCGUAAAGCGCGCGUAGGCGGUCUGAUAAGCCGGUUGUGAAAGCCCCGGGCUCAACCUGGGAACGGCAUCCGGAACUGUCAGGCUAGAGUGCAGGAGAGGAAGGAAGAAUUCCCGGUGUAGCGGUGAAAUGCGUAGAGAUCGGGAGGAAUACCAGUGGCGAAGGCGGCCUUCUGGACUGACACUGACGCUGAGGUGCGAAAGCGUGGGUAGCAAACAGGAUUAGAUACCCGGGUAGUC